Molecule: ribosomal RNA, 468 nt
Filed under: uncultured bacterium
Lineage: Bacteria
Description: partial 16S ribosomal RNA
Rfam family: Bacterial small subunit ribosomal RNA
Source: RNAcentral
GACGAACGCUGGCGGCGUGCUUAACACAUGCAAGUCGAACGGAAAGGCCCUGCUUUUGUGGGGUGCUCGAGUGGCGAACGGGUGAGUAACACGUGAGUAACCUGCCCUUGACUUUGGGAUAACUUCAGGAAACUGGGGCUAAUACCGGAUAGGAGCUCCUGCUGCAUGGUGGGGGUUGGAAAGUUUCGGCGGUUGGGGAUGGACUCGCGGCUUAUCAGCUUGUUGGUGGGGUAGUGGCUUACCAAGGCUUUGACGGGUAGCCGGCCUGAGAGGGUGACCGGCCACAUUGGGACUGAGAUACGGCCCAGACUCCUACGGGAGGCAGCAGUGGGGAAUAUUGCACAAUGGGCGGAAGCCUGAUGCAGCAACGCCGCGUGCGGGAUGACGGCCUUCGGGUUGAAAACCGCUUCCGCCUGUGACGAAGCGUGAGUGACGGUAAUGGGUAAAGAAGCACCGGCUAACUACGUG